AUAUAUCAGCCGUAACGUCUGGCU
This 24-nucleotide non-coding RNA is filed under the name Arabidopsis thaliana (thale cress). Lineage: Eukaryota; Viridiplantae; Streptophyta; Magnoliopsida; Brassicales; Brassicaceae. The record is from RNAcentral.